Molecule: small RNA, 51 nt
Filed under: Flavobacterium sp. 102
Lineage: Bacteria; Pseudomonadati; Bacteroidota; Flavobacteriia; Flavobacteriales; Flavobacteriaceae
Description: Flavo-1 RNA
Rfam family: Flavo-1 RNA
Source: RNAcentral
UUUUAGCCCCGACAGUAGUGGCACCUUGUAUAACGGAUGGCGGGAAAAUGG